AAGUCUGCAGGUGGUCAGUAGGCCUUAGACUCAAGACAACCAAUGGUGUAGUUCCAGUCUAAAGGCUGGCAAACUUGAGACCCAGGAAUAACCAAUGUUUCAGUUCAAGACCAAAGCAGGGAAAAAGCCAAUGUGCAUGUCAAAGGCAGUCAGGCCAGAGAAAUUCUAUCUUACUUGGGGAAUGGUCAUCCUUUUUGUUCUAUUCAGAUGUACAGGAGUAUCUAGUCUUCCAUACUUAUUUUAGGGGACAGAAGUAAGAAAAUUUGAAGACCUCUGGCAUACAGAGACCAGCAAAUAACAAAAAAGCGACUAUAUCGACUAUAUCGUUGAAACUGCUGUUAUGCAAGAUUUUCUCCAUUUCCUGCCUCCAGCCUCGCAAGCUUUUGCCCUAAAAUUGAUUCCAAAAGGCAGCCAGGAAACAUACCCAUGGAAAGGGUGUUCUGUGCCAAUCCAGCCUUCCUGAAAAGCAAGCAGUCUCUUUGCUUCUGCAAUUUCACAUGAUCAUACCAUAAAUAGUCUGCGAUCCAUGCUAUUAUGCUUUUCAUUUACAUUUUACA
RNAcentral lists this long non-coding RNA (557 nucleotides) under Pan troglodytes (chimpanzee). RNAcentral describes it as "long non-coding RNA NONPTRT000313". Lineage: Eukaryota; Metazoa; Chordata; Mammalia; Primates; Hominidae. The record is from RNAcentral.